UAUAUGAAGAAGGAAGGCGGGGCUGGUCUCAGUGUGCAUUACUUUGCAUUUUCUCACAUUUUCCCCUUCAGCUGCAUUCAGUUGUCUAUUCACCAGUUUGAAGAGAUCAUUGUGGAGUUCUUCUUAGUCUGCUAGGGAUUGCAUCAUUCUGAAUAAUUUGACUGGGCUAUCUCAAUUCAGAAACAGUGCCAGAGCCAUUAAAGAGGCUUGGGGGACACGGCUUGCUUCCCUCUCUCUAUUGUGAAAACUGCCUUUUUUCAUUCCUACGCUCAACAUUCUGGUUUUUAAUCAGUUACUGAUCCAUAAGAGAACCAGUUAUCUUAUUCCAUGGCUGUUAGAUUUUAAUGGGAGCUUCUUGGUGAGGGGCUCUGGCAGAAGCAUUUACAAAGUUGAAUUGCUGCUUGGGAUGGUGUUUUGCCACCAGACUACUUCCAUACAAGUGUUUUGAAACAAGCUGUAGUUUAAUGUUAAGUUUUGAAUCUUUUACUUUUAGGAACUCCUAAAAGUAAAAUUCAUAAUAAUAAUAAUAAUAAUAGUAAAAAAAUGUGUGUAGAUGUGUUCAUGUGUAUAUGCAAUAAUUAUUAAUGAGACCUGCAAAACUGCACAUAUUGAGGAACAGAUUCUGUAGUAAUAGCUGGCAGAAAUGUUAAGUGCUUUUCACAGUCAACAUUCAAACAGAUUAUCAGAUGGCAUAUUUCACCCUGUUGUUACUUUAAAUGAAGUGACCAUGAAAUCAACAAAUCUGCUGUCAGGUGCCUGUCAGUAAGAUAGUUCUUCCUGUCACACAAUGCCUCACAUAACAGGUAAUGUGUUUUUAAGAAUCAGUCCUUUGUCACCUCAUCAAGUUCUUGUUAAAAGAUGAAAUAAGACGGAUGGUGUUGUCUCCCACAGAGCUGACGGAAAUUCAGGAGAAAGCAAUACAUUCUACAGGAAUAAAUACCAAAAGGAAGGAACUCAGGUGCCUGUGGGGGGAAAUUGCCUCUUACUGUGCUAUAUUGCCUUUAUCCUGUGUCUUGAAAAUAACUGCUCACUUUUCUUGCUCAUUUUAAUUCAAGCAUUAAAUUAAUUGGGUCAAGUUUAAGUUCUCUGAUAAAGACAGGAGGAAUUAAGCCUAAAUCAUCAAACAAAUGAGAACAAAGAGUGCAUUAUUGCACUAGUACCUGAACUUUCGCUCAGGGCCCUUGAGACAUGCUUCAGUACCUAAUGGAGAUGACACCCAUAAUUAGCAGAUUUUACUUGCAACUGUUUUGUUCUGAAUUUGUACAGUUAGCCCUUUAUCUUGAGACCAUGAAUGACACUGGCAUAUUACUUCGUAGACUGGGUAACAGUACUACCCAUUGCAUUUUUUUAGUGCCGUCCAAAAGAAUGUCCCAAGUGGUAAGAUGUCUCUUUCAGUCUGGUUCCGGAAGGAAGAUAUAAGGUGGAACUCUCAAUUGCCUGCUGUAACAAAUGUGCAAGAUGGUCAAUUCCAGAAGAUGAUGCUUAGGAAUCAUUGCCCCAUCUCUUGGCAAUACCUUGCUAUUGAACAUCUACAUACAUUAGACCCAGUGGCGUGGUGUGGGGGGCUGUGGGUGCCAUCUCCCCAGGCACAUUUUAUGGAGGAGGCGUGACCAGGCACCCCCAAAACAGGCUCCCAUUGAAGCCUGGCUCUGUUGUGCAAGGGGGCUGCCAUGGCAGCUUCCUCACACCCAGCUGAAGCUCCACUGCAGCUCUGCUCCCGGGUCACAUCUGACCUGGGGGCAGAGUGCAGAGUUGGUGGCAGAGAGCUGCCACCCCUCUCCUUGACUGGAGAGGAGGAUAUUUAAAGGAUAUUGCACUCUCACUGGAAAUUUGAGUUCAUAGUUUGGGGAUGUUCUUGGACCCAGCACCGUCACUGGAGACACAUGUAGCAUCUGUGACUCAGGGGCCUUAUCUUAACUUUGGUUUGUAUACCAGCUGCAGUUCUAUUUAGACAGAGAGACAGCCUACAAUUAUUACACUUUAGACAGAGACAGCCUACAAUUAUUACACUUGUGGAUAGCUCAGUUGGUUAGAGCAUGAUGCUGAUAAUGCCAAGGUCGCAGGUUCAAUUCCCUUCAGGGAAUUCCCUUGAGUUCCCAACCCAUUGCAGCAGGUUGGACUUCAUGAUCCUCAUAGUCCCUUCCAACUCUACAAUUCUGUCAUCACGGUGAUUACAGCAUUUCCACAUCCCCAAAGCCACCUGAAUUCUACCUCUCAUUUCCCCUUCCCUAGGGGCCAUUCCCUUACAAUAUCCAUUCCCUUCGGUUGCUUUCAGUUGCUCCUAUAUUUUUACCUUAAGCUUCAUUACAUUCUCCCCCAUGACUUCACUGCCUUCUGUGUGUCCAUAAUCUCCUCUCCCAUGUGCUUCAAAUGGUUCCCCCAGUUUCUUCCAGCAUGGCACAAUUGGUUCCCGGUACUGAGAAACCUCCUAUCAAACUGCACACAUAUGCAGUACAAGAUGAAAUGCUAUCAAAUGCAGGUAAGACCAUAGCCCAGAAGUGUAGUGCUGAAUCCUGAUUAAAUAUUCCCACUCUAAAGUUGUAAUUAAAACAUCAUUUAUAUUGAGAAUAAUUAAGACAACUGUACAUUUGAUUUUAAAAUCAGUUUUGAGUAUUGUGCCUUGUCAAACUACAAGGAUGGCUCCUGCAGCUUCACAAUUUAACAUUAAGAGGCAGACAGUGACCGUGGGCACCUGAGUGGGGAGGUUUGACAGUUUGAUAAAUUAGGAAUGACACUUGCCAAAAUGGCCGUCCUUCCCUCAGUCUGCCAGUGGAGCAUUUACACACUGUUAAUUGAAUUGGCAAUUUGUGUAACAGUACCUGCCCCUGAGCUUUGGUAAUUCUAGAGCUGCCAUUUAGCUCUGAUAAUCCAGGACUGGGGAAUAAGGACGAAAAGCUUCACAUGAUAUUAUUGCAGAUUUAAAAUGACAGUUGGGGACCUUGUUGCCAAUUUCCCAUUAAAUGAGAAAUAAUUAACAAUAGCAAUAACAAAGUCUUACAAAGCUGGAAAGUUAAAUUGACUUUUCAGCAGUAGUGUGGUUUAAAAUUGCUUCUAGUGUGAUUAUCCGAUUGCCCUUUCGGUAUUAUAUACCCUAAAUAGUAUCAUAUGAUGGACAAAGUGAAGGGUGUUUUUGAAAGCUAGCCUGUUUUAUUACUGUGAGGCUCUUCUGAUUUAUCUGUUGUUUUGUCUUCUUGCUAUGUACAAAUUGGGUUAUACUAUAAUGUUUCAUAGAGAUAAAGAAUUUAAUGAAAUAUCAGAGAUCCUAGUUUCUACAGAUGUCAGUAACUGAAUGACAGCAGAAACAAAACACUGAACCUCCGAUAACCACUGUUGAAUACGAUUGUUCUAAAGAUGUCCCUGUGUAGAUUCUACCCCUGUUUUCCCUUACCCCAAAGUUACAGAGAAGAGGGCAAAGAGACCCUUGGGUACUGAAGGCCUGAUGUCAUCAGGAGAAAAGAGGAAGGAGCUCCUUAAGCAUUCCUGCACCCCCAGUUUUAGAUUUUGGUAGAUGAGUCAACGUAUGGGAAUAAUAUCCUCCAAAAAAGCAGCAGAGCACCAAGAAAGACCUUUGGUGAUUAUCUUAGACGGCAUAUGUGACUGAAGAGAACUCCUUGGCAGUUUCAGGUGGUGUUUACUUUGGAAUUUACUGUAGUCUGGAUGUUAGCAGGGCGUGGUUAACUACCUCUUGCAGGGGCUGGCAGGAGCCCAAGGAGUGGGGGGUUUUGCACACAGAGGGGAGAGAGAGAAGGAGGGUCUGGCAAAAGGGGCCCGUGAUUUGUGGGUUUCUGUGCCACCCAUGAGCUGGUUCCUGGCAGAGGUGGAAGAAGGGGGACCAGAGCAGGUGACUGGUCAGCAAGAGCAUGGAGGAAGGAAGCAGGACUUGCUGGAAGAGCCACAAGGGAUCUUGGAAUCUGUAGAAUCUGUGGAUGAGGCCAUGCCUUCAGAAUCCCCUGAACACCCACUCCCCACUGUCACCUUGCUUGAGGAGAAGUUGGAAGAGACGAGAAGUUAGAGCAGGCUCUGAGGAGGAGCUGACAGGUGCUUGAGCGCAACACGUGAGCUAAGGAGGGACAAGGGGUGGGGGCAUGAAUACUCUGUUUCUCCAACGUUCUGAGACUGGCACAAAUUUGCAGUCAUAGGAGCCAACUCCUAGGGGCUAAUGUCACUUUAGCCCCCCCUCCCAAUAAAAUAUUUGAGGAGGUAGUGGGUAUUGCCAUUCAAAUGGUGUGCGCGUGCUGCGUCUUGUGAUCAAUUAUGCGGGGUGGGGCUUACCUGCCCUUCCACCCCAUUUUAUUCAAGUUGGCACUCCUGUCUGAAGUUGUCAUUUGCUUAGACAGCUAAUUAGCGAGGAGCUUUAUCGUAUAUCACUUGCACAUUAGGAGCUGAUGUAACCGACUGAUUCACCAAUAAAGAACUAUAAAAUCCAGCCGCUUGUCUUUGAUGGUGCAGGUUGGGACACCCUCAGGGUGGGAAACCAGCUCACCCGUCACAUGUGGUUGAAGGCGAUAUCACAGAAGCCACUGCACUUAAGCCCUUAAAAUUGAGAGAGAGUGAAAUCCUAUCCGGAAUAGAUUGCAAUCCACCUCUCAUGUCAGACGAACCAUCUACCAUCUUGUCUAGAUUGAACUUGGAGUGUGUCUGGAUUGAACUUGGAGUGGCCCUUAUCCACUCCACUUAAGGAUGCUAGGUACUGAUUCAGUGUUAUCCUUUGGAGUCCAUAACAUAAAAGGCCCAGUGGUUUUGCCUCAUCUCCUGAACUGACCAUCUGUGUAGGGCUAGAACCACUGCAGAUAGUCUAUUUAGAAGGGUGCCGUGGCUGAUGGUAUGAAAUGCUGUUGAGAAGUCCAAGAGAAUUAACAGGGUUUGUUAUCUAUGUCCUUCUUUUGACGAACUAAGUCAUCCAAAGCUGUUUCCAUGCCAAAACUGAUACCGAAACCAGACUAUAUCUGUUGGCUAGAAAAAUUAGAUAACUAUAAACACUUGGAAUCUGUGUCUUAAUGUCAGCUUAUUUAGCUUCAAAAAUGAAGAAUGUAUGAUGACUUUGAAGGAGUAUUUUAAUUAUCUCAUAAUUAAAAUAAUGGGAUCAUGCUGACAUGAUUUCUCACAUAAUCGCCCUGAAUCUUAAAGGUCAUGAUGCUAUCCACUUAUAAAACAUCGUCAAGCAAAAUCCAGCUAUUUGGUGUGACUAGCAAUGGCAUCAAUAAUGGGCUACACGAGGGGCAAUAAGCAGAACCUCAGCCCAUGCAAACUAUGUGCAGAUGUGAGCACUGAUCAUUUGUCUAGAACUUUAAACAUAAGAGAAGAAGACAAGAUGAAUUUAUACAUGAUCUUAAACAUAGCACGACACUUUCCACUAGCUGAGCACAGCUAUCCUGCCCUGGUAACAUCCAGAUGUGAUGAUUGUAACUUGUUACUGCAUUGGACUGCCUUUAAAGACAUCUCAGAAACUUCCAAUUUGUGCAAAAAAAAUACAGGUGCUAGACUGCCUAUGGGACCUACCCUAUAGAACACAUCUCACCAAUCUUGAAACAACUUCACUGGUUAUUGACCAAUUUCCAAGCAAAACAGCUGCUGCUUAGCUUUACAUCCCUAUGAUGACAAGGAACCAUAGCAUUUCCACCUAAAUGCACCUAUCCGUGCAUAAAUGCACCUAUCAGUGAAUUAAGAUAAUUGUUCAAGACCCUUCUGUGGACCCCCCAUAGCUUCUGAAGAUAAUAAUGAUAAUAAUAAUAAUAAUAAUAAUAAUAAUAAUACCUUUAUUGUCAAGAUGGGUUGUUACAGGUGACAGGGUUUUUCAGCUGCAGUGCCCCAUUUCUAUAGUGCUUUCCCCAAAUAGGUUUGACUGGCACCAAGCGAAUACUUUUUGAGGUUGUUUCCUUUUUUCACGUUUGCUGAUCUAUUUUUUUAAUUUUAAAAAAGUUAACUGAACUUGGUUUUGAUCUGUCAGUAUGUUUUUGAUCUGCAGUGCUUUAUAACUUCCUUCAGUUUAACUGAUUGUUGUGUUUGAAUGUUUUAUUUGUAGCUGACCUGGGAAUGUUGUUGUUUAGUCGUUUAGUCGUGUCUGACUCUUCAUGACCCCAUGGACCAGAGCACGCCAGGCACUCCUGUCUUCCACUGCCUCCCACAGUUUGGUCAGACUCAUGUUCCUAGCUUUGAGAACACUGUCCAACCAUCUCGGCCACCGUCGUCCCCUUCUCCUAGUGCCCUCCAUCUUUCCCAACAUCAGGGUCUUUCCCAGAGAGUCUUCUCUUCUCAUGAGGUGGCCAAAGUAUCAGAGCCUCAGCUUCAGGAUCUGUCCUUCCAGUGAGCACUCGGGGCUGAUUUCCUUCAGAAUGGAUAGGUUUGAUCUUCUUGCAGUCCAUGGCUCUCUCAAGAGUCUCCUCCAGCAACAUAAUUCAAAGCAUCAAUUCUUUGGCGAUCAGCCUUCUUUAUGGUCCAGCUCUCACUUCCAUACAUCACUACUGGGAAAACCAUAGCUUUUACUAUACGGACCUUUGUUGGCAAGGUGAUGUCUCUACUUUAAGAUGCUGUCUAGGUUUGUCAUUGCUUUUCUCCCAAGAAGCAGGCGUCUUUUAAUUACGUGGCUGCUGUCACCAUCUGCAGUGAUCAUGGAGCCCAAGAAAGUAAAAUCUCUCACUGCCUCCAUUUCUUCCCCUUCUGUUUCCCAGGAGGUGAUGGGACCAGUGGCCAUGAUCUUCGUUUUUUUGAUGUUGAGCUUCAGACCAUAUUUUGCGCUCUCGUCUUUCACCCUCAAAUUGUGUUUUUUUAGGGCGGAGGAGGAGGGGGAGAGGUACAAUGGUAUAAGAGCUGUUGAAACGAAAAUUUAGGUGAAAGUAGGUUGUGCAAAUGGAUGACAUUCUAUUUCAGGUAUAUUUGCUUUGUGCUGCUUUUCAACUCUAGAAUAUAUGCAUCUAGAUAGAGAUCUAGAUAGAUAAAUAUAUUUUGUAUAUUUCUCAAAUUUCCUCCAAGAAGCUCAAGGUAGCAUACUUGGCUUGCUUCCCAUUUAAUCCUCAAAACAACCCUGUAAGUCUGGAUAGGCAGAGAGAAGGUGACUGGCUCAAGGCCAUUUGAUAAGGUGCAUGGCUGUGUGAGGAUCUGAACCCAGUCCCAUCUCCCCAGUCCUAGUCUGACACCGUAACCACUAAAAUCAAUUGUUGAAAAUAGCACUGUGAGAGAAAAAAAUGUGAGGGACUGAAGGUGCCUUUGUACAUAAAUCCAAUAAAAGUGGGUUUUCUGUUAAGAAAAAACUAAGUAGAUGUUUUUCCUGUCCUGUGCAUCUGAAUAUUCAUCACAUGGAGGCAUAUUUCUGUAGGGAUUUACCUGGUUGGAAUGAGUCAUUAUUUAAUUGUGGCAUAUGUGUGGCUCUCUGAAUCUAGAGAGUUUUGAAAAGUUGCUGGUUUUUUUCUGAUUGUACAACAGGAUUUCCUUUUCUAUGUUAAGUUUUAAAACAUUCUAAAGGGGUGCAGGUACCUCAAGCCUAUUUUGUACAAAAAAUGGAGCCUCUAUUGUGGUUCUUUUAAUUUUUUAUAAAUUGAAUUAAUCCAGCCAAAAGCUGCAUCAACUGUGUCACAUCCCUUUAACCAAAGGCAUGUAAACCUCAGAGUAGACAGCUGUUUGGCUGUACCAAGGUGGGCCCCCUGCCCUCAGCAAAUAUACUUGAUUCCCCUACAUGGCCACUUGGCUGGCUACUCUUACAGCCAUAUGGUUGGAUGGAUUCACGACUGCUCCCUAGUUGGCUGUAUAAUUCCACAAGGAUACAGUAGUAGUUACUGGUAGCCAUAUUGGGAAAAAUUUGCAGUGGUGGUAGUUUUGUGUGUUUGUGUGUUUUUUUGUUUUUUGUUUGCCAAGACCAACUUGGGUGAAGGCUGGCAUUAAGUUACGAAGUAUAUGACUGUAGAAAUAAUAAACAAACAAAUCCCAUAUAUGGGGGGGAUUAUUAUUUUUUUAAAGCAUUUUUAUGGCAAUAUAGUAUGCUAUUCCUGAAUAGCGCAAAUGAGGUAAAAUUAACCGAAGCUUUCUUUUCUUUUCUUUCAAUUUAUUUUUGAUUGCUUUUCUUCUUAAAGAUUAAACAACAACAAGGGGGGAUGAUUUAUUUUAUUACUGUUUAAUCUCUCUGCUGAAGUAUACUAGAUCCUCUGACUGGCUAUUUGAAAUAAGGACAGAGAGAUGGAGGGAUCCCUUUAGACCAGUGGUUUUUUUCUGGGCCACGCUUUUAGAAUAAAAAUUUGCUUGCACCACAAUUUUUUUAUUGAAAAGAAAUACAUUGGAAAACUCCUAGCAGUGUUUGAUCUAUGACAUAGAACACAACCACUUUGUGUUUGGGGUGUGUUUUUUUCUUCAGCUUUUCCACUGAAAAUUUUCAAAUAAAAUAUGAAUAUUGAAAACAUUUAAAAUGUCAUG
Molecule: non-coding RNA, 8400 nt
Organism: Podarcis lilfordi (Lilford's wall lizard)
Lineage: Eukaryota; Metazoa; Chordata; Lepidosauria; Squamata; Lacertidae
Source: the annotation of a GenBank genome assembly